This 377-nucleotide ribosomal RNA is filed under the name uncultured organism. Its description in RNAcentral is "bacterial SSU rRNA". It matches the Rfam family "Bacterial small subunit ribosomal RNA", at positions 45 to 433 of the family's 1533-position model. The record is from RNAcentral.
UGGAUAAGGCAUGCAAGUCGUACGAUGCAAUUGCGAUUACAUCAAGAUUGCAUAGUGGCGAACGAGUUAGUAACACAUUGGUACAUACCCGGAAGUCGGGCAUAACUUGCCGAAAGGCAGGCUAAUUCCCGAUGGUCUUUCACUAGUAAAGAAGCAAUUCGCUUCCGGAGUGGCCUAUGUCCUAUCAGCUUGUUGGUGAGGUAAUGGCUCACCAAGGCUAUGACGGGUAGGGGACCUGAGAGGGUGACCCCCAACGAGGGUACUGAGAUACGGACCUUACAUCUACGGAUGGCUGCAGUCGAGAAUAUUCGACAAUGGGCGAAAGCCUGAUCGAGCGACGCCGCGUGCAGGAUGAAGGCCUUCGGGUUGUAAACUGC